Cinara cedri is the source of this 841-nucleotide non-coding RNA. Lineage: Eukaryota; Metazoa; Arthropoda; Insecta; Hemiptera; Aphididae. The record is from the annotation of a GenBank genome assembly.
CACGCCCUGUACCUGUCUCAAAAGACGCGGAAAAAUGAUUUUCUAUAGAUUCCUGAAAAGAAAAAAAAGAAAAAAAAAAACUAACAAUAAACGACAGUAAAUCGGUUUUGUUUUUAUUGAUUCCCGGUUCAACACGAACCAGCAGUUAUCUAACCUGUAGUUUACAACUCCGUUCAGAAUAGUUUUUUCGAUUGCAAUGAUUUAUCUUUCAAAGCUUUCAGUAUUCUAAACAAAAUCAUACCGCCUAUAAUAUCCUGUAUGCCUUAUUUCGACUUGUAUCACUGACAACCAUGUAAUGGCCAAUGUUUAGACGUCUGUAAAAAGAUGAACAAAUUUGGAACGUCGACUUUUUACCGCGCACGCAGGUGGGUGUAAACGUUUCACAAUCAGGUCAUUUCAUUUGGGCAUCUCGUCUUGUUCAGCGGAAACUUUUCGACCGACACACGUGCGUUCACUCCCACAAAAAGCGUCAUCAAACGCGAAAGAGGGGGAAAAGACGACUUCGACUUGAUGGCGAUAAUUUCUCACCGCGCGGAACACAAAACAAUAUAUACGUCAUCGGCACAGCGGCUGCUGCCGGGUCUAUCGACUUUAUCAGCUGUGAACCGCAGACGCCGAAACAAAAUAACGCGUAUAAUAUGAUUUAUCGAACGUUGUUUGGUGAAAAAGUUCGUUUAAUCGUAUAUUAUUUUGUUAAUAGAUUUCGUCGGAACGGUUUUCGACAGCAACGUGGCCAUCGCCUGUCGCCGUCCCGACACGAUAAUCUAAUGCCAUAUGAACGAUGAAAUAAUAUUAUUAUUCUUCCGUGAUGCCGUGGUGUUCUAUAAAUUAAUUAGAUUAU